UACGUAGGAGACGAGCGUUGUCCGGAAUUACUGGGCGUAAAGCGCGUGUAGGCGGAUGAGCAAGUCUGCUGUGAAAGCUCCUGGCUUAACCGGGAGUGGUCGGUGGAAACUGCUCGUCUGGAGGACGGUAGAGGUAGGUAGAAUUCCCGGUGUAGUGGUGAAAUGCGUAGAGAUCGGGAGGAACACCGGUGGCGAAGGCGGCCUUCUGGACGGUGACUGACGCUGAGGCGCGAAAGCGUGGGGAGCAAACGGG
RNAcentral lists this ribosomal RNA (253 nucleotides) under uncultured bacterium. RNAcentral describes it as "partial 16S ribosomal RNA". It matches the Rfam family "Bacterial small subunit ribosomal RNA", at positions 524 to 776 of the family's 1533-position model. The record is from RNAcentral.